GACCAUGUGGCGGGAUUGGCAGACGCGCCAGAUUCAGGUUCUAGUAACAUCGUACAGGUUCAAGUCCUGUCGUGGGCA
Molecule: transfer RNA, 78 nt
Filed under: Pedosphaera parvula Ellin514
Lineage: Bacteria; Pseudomonadati; Verrucomicrobiota; Pedosphaerae; Pedosphaerales; Pedosphaeraceae
Rfam family: tRNA
About the family: Transfer RNA (tRNA) molecules are approximately 80 nucleotides in length. Their secondary structure includes four short double-helical elements and three loops (D, anti-codon, and T loops).
Source: Rfam by way of RNAcentral